GAUGAAGAACGUAGCAAAACGCGAAAGGUAAUGCGAAUUGCAGAUCAGUGAGUCAUCGAAUAUUUGAACGCACAUUGCGCCUCUCGGUAUUCCGGGGGGCAUGCCUGUCCGAGCGUCAUUGCUGCCCUCAAGCACGGCUUGUGUGUUGGGCCCCGUCCUCCGAUCCCGGGGGACGGGCCCGAAAGGCAGCGGCGGCACCGCGUCCGGUCCUCGAGCGUAUGGGGCUUUGUCACCCGCUCUGUAGGCCCGGCCGGCGCUUGCCGAUCAACCCAAAUUUUUAUCCAGGUUGACCUCGGAUCAGGUAGGGAUACCCGCUGAACUUAAGCAUAUCAAUAAGCGGAGGA
RNAcentral lists this unclassified non-coding RNA (344 nucleotides) under soil metagenome. RNAcentral's name for it is "partial contains 5.8S ribosomal RNA, internal transcribed spacer 2, and large subunit ribosomal RNA". The stretch from base 1 to 118 matches the Rfam family "5.8S ribosomal RNA", at positions 35 to 154 of the family's 154-position model. The record is from RNAcentral.